Molecule: ribosomal RNA, 107 nt
Filed under: Pteropus alecto (black flying fox)
Lineage: Eukaryota; Metazoa; Chordata; Mammalia; Chiroptera; Pteropodidae
Source: RNAcentral
GUCUACGGCCAUGCCGCCCUGAACAUCUGAUCUCGGAAACUAAGCAGGGUCAGGCCUGGUUAGUACUUGGAUGGGAGACCACCUAGGAGGAUGAGGUGUUGUAGGCA